This is a non-coding RNA of Hirsutella rhossiliensis, 115 nucleotides long. The record is from the annotation of a RefSeq genome assembly. Lineage: Eukaryota; Fungi; Ascomycota; Sordariomycetes; Hypocreales; Ophiocordycipitaceae.
GGUACUUUGGCCGAGUGGUCUAAGGCGCCGUGUUCAGGUGGCAGGAGUGGGUAACACCCACUUCGCAUCUUUCGCGGUCUAGUAAUAGGCGAGGGUUCGAAUCCCUCAGGUAUCA